UUCGUCCCCUCCCUCCCUCAUAGCCACUCUUCCUCUUGUCUCCCCUUGCUGCGCAUCCGGCCAUAGGCGAGGCCGCGCUCCUCCGGUGAGCCUGCGCUCCUCCACCCCGUUUCCCAUCAAUCUCCGGCAAGCCGCCGCCGGUUGGAUUUCGCCUCCACCAUAGGGAUUCGUCCCAGUUCUCCGGAUUUGCCAUUUCUCCGGAUUUCACCGCCGCUCGUACAGACCUCACCACCGCCAGCUCCUCUCGAAGGACCUUGCCGCAUCUGAAGGAGGACCAUCCGCCUAGAGGCCCUAGAUCGGCCACUCCGUGGACUGCGCCUGGAAGCAGAUUCAUCUGAUGCGGAUUGAUUUUCUAGAAGCAAUCAAGUUGUGUGUUCAAUGCAUGUACAGAAAACGUGAAGCACCGAAAAAAGUCAGCAAACAAUCGAUCAGGAGCUGGAUUGAUCGGCCGCGUCUACCAGUUCGUAAACAAUUACGUUAAUGGACAGCCACGUCUACUAGUUCUGAACUUCUGAUCACACUAGCGCCCACGAGUUGAUCGAUUCAUCGAAAGAAAACAAAAAUAAAAUCAGCAAAAAGGGAAACGAAAGUCUGGAGCUGGCUUGUUGUCCCAAACGCAUUUAUCAGGUGGAGUAGAGCUCAACCUAAAUACUUGUUGUACUUGGUCCGUUCUUAAAUACUUGUUGUACUCCAUCCGUUUCUAAAUACUUGUUGUACUCCAUCCGUUCCUAAA
Molecule: long non-coding RNA, 733 nt
Organism: Brachypodium distachyon (stiff brome)
Lineage: Eukaryota; Viridiplantae; Streptophyta; Magnoliopsida; Poales; Poaceae
Exons: 2
Source: RefSeq, a predicted model, not a curated record